This 823-nucleotide ribosomal RNA is filed under the name uncultured bacterium. RNAcentral's name for it is "bacterial SSU rRNA". It matches the Rfam family "Bacterial small subunit ribosomal RNA", at positions 67 to 883 of the family's 1533-position model. The record is from RNAcentral.
CGGCAGCGGGGUGGGAGCUUGCUCCCACUGCCGGCGAGCGGCGCACGGGUGAGUAACACGUAUGCAACCUGCCCCUGUCAGGGGGACAACCCGCCGAAAGGCGGGCUAAGCCCGCGUAUAUCGCCCCGGGGCAUCCCGGGGGGAGGAAAGGAGCGAUCCGGACAGGGAUGGGCAUGCGGCGCAUUAGCUGGUCGGCGGGGUAACGGCCCACCGAGGCGACGAUGCGUAGGGGUUCUGAGAGGAAGGCCCCCCACACUGGUACUGAGACACGGACCAGACUCCUACGGGAGGCAGCAGUGAGGAAUAUUGGUCAAUGGGCGGGAGCCUGAACCAGCCAAGCCGCGUGAGGGAAGAAGGUACAGCGUAUCGUAAACCUCUUUUGUCAGGGAACAAAGGCGGGGACUAGUCCCCGGAUGAGGGUACCUGAAGAAAAAGCAUCGGCUAACUCCGUGCCAGCAGCCGCGGUAAUACGGAGGAUGCGAGCGUUAUCCGGAUUUAUUGGGUUUAAAGGGUGCGCAGGCGGCCUGUUAAGUCAGCGGUAAAAGCCCGGGGCUCAACCCCGGCGAGCCGUUGAAACUGGCGGGCUGGAGUUGGAGAGAAGUACGCGGAAUGCGCGGUGUAGCGGUGAAAUGCUUAGAUAUCGCGCAGAACCCCGAUUGCGAAGGCAGCGUACCGGCUCCACACUGACGCUGAGGCUCGAAAGUGUGGGUAUCAAACAGGAUUAGAUACCCUGGUAGUCCACACAGUAAACGAUGAAUACUCGCUGUUUGCGAUAUACGGCAAGCGCCAAGCGAAAGCAUUAAGUAUUCCACCUGGGGAGUAC